RNAcentral lists this ribosomal RNA (599 nucleotides) under Klebsiella oxytoca. Its description in RNAcentral is "bacterial SSU rRNA". It matches the Rfam family "Bacterial small subunit ribosomal RNA", at positions 83 to 678 of the family's 1533-position model. Lineage: Bacteria; Pseudomonadati; Pseudomonadota; Gammaproteobacteria; Enterobacterales; Enterobacteriaceae. The record is from RNAcentral.
CUCGGGUGACGAGUGGCGGACGGGUGAGUAAUGUCUGGGAAACUGCCUGAUGGAGGGGGAUAACUACUGGAAACGGUAGCUAAUACCGCAUAACGUCGCAAGACCAAAGAGGGGGACCUUCGGGCCUCUUGCCAUCAGAUGUGCCCAGAUGGGAUUAGCUAGUAGGCGGGGUAACGGCCCACCUAGGCGACGAUCCCUAGCUGGUCUGAGAGGAUGACCAGCCACACUGGAACUGAGACACGGUCCAGACUCCUACGGGAGGCAGCAGUGGGGAAUAUUGCACAAUGGGCGCAAGCCUGAUGCAGCCAUGCCGCGUGUGUGAAGAAGGCCUUCGGGUUGUAAAGCACUUUCAGCGGGGAGGAAGGCAGUGCGGUUAAUAACCGUGCUGAUUGACGUUACCCGCAGAAGAAGCACCGGCUAACUCCGUGCCAGCAGCCGCGGUAAUACGGAGGGUGCAAGCGUUAAUCGGAAUUACUGGGCGUAAAGCGCACGCAGGCGGUCUGUCAAGUCGGAUGUGAAAUCCCCGGGCUCAACCUGGGAACUGCAUUCGAAACUGGCAGGCUGGAGUCUCGUAGAGGGAGGUAGAAUUCCAGGUGUAG